This is a long non-coding RNA of Solanum lycopersicum (tomato), 657 nucleotides long. RefSeq lists it as uncharacterized. The record is from RefSeq and is a predicted model, not a curated record. NCBI's taxonomy places the organism in Eukaryota, Viridiplantae, Streptophyta, Magnoliopsida, Solanales, Solanaceae.
UAGACAAGUAAAUAGUGACAAUGGAGUAUUCACGUAAUCCAUUCUUUUAACCAAAUAAUAAAGUGGCAAAUUAGUCUAGAUUUCAAAUAUACCUUAAAUCAAAAUUGAAAUCCUAAAUACAAGUAGAUAUAAAUUAGUUUAUAGUCAAACAUUCCUUCUUCUUUUUUAAAUAUAUUUAUAUUCAAACAUUCCAAAUUAUAAAUUAGCAAAUUUUAUUUAUUCCCUUAAUUUCAUUUACUCCCUAUAUAUAUCUCCCAAAACAUAGCAUACAAGUAUCCAAUGAAAAGAAAAACAUCAUUAUCUAUUGAGAUAUAGUAUACAAAAUGGAGAAGACAUCAAUUGUUUUGCUCUCCCUUAUUGCCUUGAUAAUUUUGUUAGGUUCACCAUCGUGUAUGGCAGCAACGUGUAAAACAUCAAAAGAUUGUGAUCCUAGAGGUUGUGGAAGUCGAGGUAUGCUAUGCCUUAAUGGAGUUUGUGUGUGUCCCUCUGAAAUAAGGAAGAAUGGCUGCACCAAAGAUAGUGAUUGUGUAAGCCUAUGUCCUCCUAAAACUUUGCCAUCUUGUAAUAAAGGAAUUUGCUUUUGUGGACAUCAUGUAUAACCUAAUACAUGUUUGAGUUAUAAGAGAACAUUUUUUUUAUAUCAUUAAUAGUUAUCGA